RNAcentral lists this ribosomal RNA (1551 nucleotides) under human oral metagenome. RNAcentral's name for it is "bacterial LSU rRNA". It matches the Rfam family "Bacterial large subunit ribosomal RNA", at positions 598 to 2003 of the family's 2925-position model. The record is from RNAcentral.
GGCGUGCCUUUUGAAGAAUGAGCCUGCGAGUCAGCGGCAUGUCGCGAGGUUAACCAUGAGUGUGGGUAGUCGUAGCGAAAGCGAAUCCUAAGAGGGUGAGUCAGUGGCAUGUUCUGGACCCGAAGCGGGGUGAUCUACCCAUGGCCAGUGUGAAGCAGAGGUAAGACUUUGUGGAGGCGCGAACCCACUUAGGUUGAAAACUGAGGGGAUGAGUUGUGGGUAGGGGUGAAAGGCCAAUCAAACUCCGUGAUAGCUGGUUCUCCCCGAAAUGCAUUUAGGUGCAGCGUUGCGUGGUUGUUGUUGGUGGUAGAGCGACUGGUUGGUUGAUGCGGGACGAUCAUCUUAGCGAUGCCAGCUAAACUCCGAAUGCCAAUAAUAUGCGAGCGUGGCAGUGAGACGGCGGGGGAUAAGCUCCGUGACGUCGAGAGGGAAACAGCCCAGAUCGUCGGUUAAGGCCCCUAAGGGUGUGCUGAGUGGAAAAGGAGGUGUCAUCGCGAAGACAGCCAGGAGGUUGGCUUAGAAGCAGCCAUCCUUGAAAGAGUGCGUAAUAGCUCACUGGUUAAGUGGUGAUGCGCCGAUAAUGUAGUGGGGCUUAUAAAGUACACCGCCGAAACCGCGGCAACACACAUUGUGUGUGUUGGGUAGGGGAGCGUCGUGCACGCGUGGAAGCUGUCACGGAAGUGGUGGUGGAGUGUGUGCGAGUGAGAAUGCAGGCAUGAGUAGCGAAAAACAUGUGGAAAACGUGUUCGCCGGAUGACUAAGGGUUCCUGGGUGAAGCUAAUCUUCCCAGGGUGAGUCGGGACCUAAGGCGAGGCCGACAGGCGUAGUCGAUGGAUAACGGGUUGAUAGUCCCGUACCCGUGUAUGCGCGACAAGUGGUGACUCGGUUGUACUAACCACCCACCACCGCGGGAUCAAUGCUUUUGGUGUUGGUUUGGUGUGUGGUGCGUGGGAUCUUGAUCGUUGGUAGCCAAGCGAUGGGGUGACACAGAUUGGUAGUCAAGGCCACUUAUUGGAUUGUGGUGUAAGCGUGUGGCCCGUAGGAUAGGUAAAUCCGUUCUGCAUUUAAGGGUGAGGCGUGAUGCGUACCCAGAUUGUUGGGGAUGUUUGAUGUGCCUGUGCUGUCGAGAAAAGCCUCUAGCGAUGUGUGUGCACGGCCCGUACCGGAAACCGACACAGGUGGUCUGGUUGAGGAUACUAAGGCGUUCGGGUGAACUAUGGUUAAGGAACUCGGCAAAAUGCCCCCGUAACUUCGGGAGAAGGGGGGCCAUGUGCGGCAAUCACCCCUUGUGCGGUGUGCGUUGUGUGUGGCCGCAGAGAAGUGAGGGAAGCGACUGUUUAUUAAAAACACAGGUCCGUGCGAAGACGUUGCAAGUCGAGGUAUACGGACUGACGCCUGCCCGGUGCUGGAAGGUUAAGAGGACUCGUGAGCACGCCCUCGUGGUGUGUGAGGCGGGUAAUUGAAGCCCCAGUAAACGGCGGUGGUAACUAUAACCAUCCUAAGGUAGCGAAAUUCCUUGUCGGGUAAGUUCCGACCUGCACGAAUGGCGUA